GUUAAAAUAACAAUGAUUUCGAAAAAGAGAGAGCAUCUAAUAUUGUUCAUAUAUCAUGCAGGCAAGACAAAGCAAAAUCAUGGAAUGAAUUGCCUCAGUUAAUGCAGCAGCACUGAGCUGGCUUUGGUUGCAUUCUUCAAGAUAGCACGGAGACUUGGAUCAAGGGGUGUUCGGAUGCUAUUCCGGUGGACACCAUAAUGCCGUGUGAGUUUCUGGAUAUUUUGAGUGGGAUGUGUUUAGCUUGAAACUGCGAUUUCAAUGAAAUCAUUUGUGAAGUGGACUGCCUUGAUGCUUAUUGUGCUAUUAUUCAUGAUGCUCCUGGUAAUAGUGCAGAUUUCAUUGAAA
Non-coding RNA from Arachis ipaensis, 345 nucleotides. The record is from RefSeq and is a predicted model, not a curated record. Lineage: Eukaryota; Viridiplantae; Streptophyta; Magnoliopsida; Fabales; Fabaceae.